This 253-nucleotide long non-coding RNA is filed under the name Sorghum bicolor (sorghum). RNAcentral describes it as "long non-coding RNA (SBIC_LNC011809)". The record is from RNAcentral. Lineage: Eukaryota; Viridiplantae; Streptophyta; Magnoliopsida; Poales; Poaceae.
CUUCCAGAUGCCAUUGUCCAAUGACGAUAUUGCUUAACUAGUUUAGCUCGUUGACAAUCUCUCACAAGGUAUCUAAUCAGAAAAAAACUUAAUUUGAAGCGAAACUAAGUUGUAUCUCAUGCCUUUAUUUAUGUAGUUUUUCUUAAAAAAAGAAAACCACAUCUCUAGGUUCUUCGCGGAUUGUCCUUGGAAAAUGUUCGAAUAAUCAUAUUUCGCCAAAAUAUCUCGGUUCUAACAAAAAUCUUCAAGUGUU